Molecule: ribosomal RNA, 500 nt
Filed under: uncultured bacterium
Lineage: Bacteria
Description: partial 16S ribosomal RNA
Rfam family: Bacterial small subunit ribosomal RNA
Source: RNAcentral
AUUGAACGCUGGCGGAAUGCUUUACACAUGCAAGUCGAACGGCAGCGCGGACUUCGGUCUGGUGGCGAGUGGCGAACGGGUGAGUAACAUAUCGGAACGUAUCCAAUAAUGGGGGAUAACUAAUCGAAAGGUUGGCUAAUACCGCAUACGCCCUACGGGGGAAAGCUAGGGACCUUCGGGCCUGGCGUUAAUGGAGCGGCCGAUAUCUGAUUAGCUAGUUAGUGGGGUAAAGGCCCACCAAGGCGACGAUCAGUAGCUGGUCUGAGAGGACGACCAGCCACACUGGAACUGAGACACGGUCCAGACUCCUACGGGAGGCAGCAGUGGGGAAUUUUGGACAAUGGGCGCAAGCCUGAUCCAGCCAUUCCGCGUGAGUGAAGAAGGCCUUCGGGUUGUAAAGCUCUUUCGCAGGGGAAGAAAACUUACCCUCUAACAUAGGGUGAGGUUGACGGUACCUUGAUAAGAAGCACCGGCUAACUACGUGCCAGCCGCCGCCGUAA